Centruroides sculpturatus (bark scorpion) is the source of this 556-nucleotide long non-coding RNA. RefSeq lists it as uncharacterized. The transcript has 3 exons. The record is from RefSeq and is a predicted model, not a curated record. NCBI's taxonomy places the organism in Eukaryota, Metazoa, Arthropoda, Arachnida, Scorpiones, Buthidae.
AUUCGAAUUUGUUCCAUUUCGUAUUCUCCGGCGCCAUCUUGAAAUAGAAAGUUUUCCGGAAUUUGCGAGUUAUUUUUCCCUCCAUUUUGGCAUUUUUCCUACGAAUUUUAAUAACAACAGCUUGUGUAACGAAAAAGUAACAUUCUCAAAUGUUAUAAUCCAUUUUUCAAAGAGACGUGAAAACAUUUUGGAAACUCCUUGUGCUCAAAACAAUUAACAAGCAGCAAAACAACAGGCAGGUCGCUUCAGUUUCCAUUUACUUAGUAAAUGAAUUGCUUGACGAAUCUGUGACAAGACCAGUGUGCGUUACCAAAAAGGAGCUUUUGAAUUUUAUAAAAUGUUCAUAAUCCUAAGAGAGUACUGCGCAUUGCUUGGCCAAGAUAUACGAAACGAUCUGUAGCCUAUAUAUUUUUAGGACAGCAUUAAUUCCGAAAUUCGUGAAGAAUGCUCCUUUUGUGAUUUUAUAAAAUUUAUUGCGUAUAGUUAUCAAUUUAGGAAUGUUUUCGUUAAUCAAAUCCCAUGUUAAAAUUAUUUUUAAAUAAAUCAGAAAAUGCUU